This 495-nucleotide ribosomal RNA is filed under the name uncultured bacterium. RNAcentral describes it as "partial 16S ribosomal RNA". It matches the Rfam family "Bacterial small subunit ribosomal RNA", at positions 28 to 523 of the family's 1533-position model. The record is from RNAcentral.
GAUGAACGCUAGCGGGAGGCCUAACACAUGCAAGCCGAGCGGUAGAGAUCUUUCGGGAUCUUGAGAGCGGCGUACGGGUGCGGAACACGUGUGCAACCUGCCUUUAUCAGGGGGAUAGCCUUUCGAAGGGAAGAUUAAUACCCCAUAAUAUUUAGAAUGGCAUCAUUUUAAAUUGAAAACUCCGGUGGAUAGAGAUGGGCACGCGCAAGACUAGAUAGUUGGUAGGGUAACGGCCUACCAAGUCUGCGAUCUUUAGGGGGCCUGAGAGGGUGAUCCCCCACACUGGUACUGAGACACGGACCAGACUCCUACGGGAGGCAGCAGUGAGGAAUAUUGGACAAUGGGUGCGAGCCUGAUCCAGCCAUCCCGCGUGAAGGAUGACGGCGCUAUGGGUUGUAAACUUCUUUUGUAUAGGGAUAAACCUAGAUACGUGUAUCUAGCUGAAGGUACUAUACGAAUAAGCACCGGCUAACUCCGUGCCAGCCGCCGCCGUAA